RNAcentral lists this ribosomal RNA (490 nucleotides) under uncultured bacterium. Its description in RNAcentral is "partial 16S ribosomal RNA". It matches the Rfam family "Bacterial small subunit ribosomal RNA", at positions 30 to 507 of the family's 1533-position model. The record is from RNAcentral.
AUUGAACGCUGGCGGCAGGCCUAACACAUGCAAGUCGAACGGUAACAGGAAGCAGCUUGCUGCUUCGCUGACGAGUGGCGGACGGGUGAGUAAUGUCUGGGAAGCUGCCUGAUGGAGGGGGAUAACUACUGGAAACGGUAGCUAAUACCGCAUAAUGUCGCAAGACCAAAGAGGGGGACCUUCGGGCCUCUUGCCAUCGGAUGUGCCCAGAUGGGAUUAGCUUGUUGGUGGGGUAACGGCUCACCAAGGCGACGAUCCCUAGCUGGUCUGAGAGGAUGACCAGCCACACUGGAACUGAGACACGGUCCAGACUCCUACGGGAGGCAUCAGUGGGGAAUAUUGCACAAUGGGCGCAAGCCUGAUGCAGCCAUGCCGCGUGUAUGAAAAAGGCCUUCGGGUUGUAAAGUACUUUCAGCGGGGAGGAAGGGAGUAAAGUUAAUACCUUUGCUCAUUGACGUUACCCGCAGAAGAAGCACCGGCUAACUCCGUG